AUGCAUAUGUAUACAACUCCUGUGUAAUAGAUAUUGUGAUGAUUCCUUUCAGCUGGUUUCUUCUUAUCUCUUUCCACUUUGACUAAGUUGGAUAACCUUUAGCAUAUGAAAAUGGUAAUAAUCAAAUAUAUUUCUUCGGAGCAUGCAGGCCAGCCUAAACUCUUGCUCUAUUCAAAUGUAAAUUUCAUCUUUUCAGCUAUUUUAUUGUGUUGGGUAUUUCUCCAUAAAAUUGUGAAUCGUUAACAGUCCUGCACUUGAGGCAUGGUCCAGAAAUAGGUGCAGUCAGAUCCCAGAGGCGUUACAUACCCUUUAUAUAUACCAGUUAUCCUUGUUCUUCCUCACUUUCUUCCCUCCCCCUGCAUUUUCAGUGUGUAAGCCAAGUAACACACACUCUGCAGCAGAACCUUUAUCACCUUAUAUGUAUUGGGAGAUAUUUAGCACACUCCAGGGGACUGUGAAAUCCUGACUAUUAGGUUUCUUCAUAACUGGUGCUGUGAAAAUAUUUGAAGUUGGUGGCUUUUAAUAUCGCAUGGCCCACAUAGCCACUUUAGUGCCUUGUCUAGCUGGGAAGGUGGCUGGGGGGGAUACAAACAAGAUUUUUUUUUUUCUUUUUCACUCUCACUAAAAUCAACUCACAUUCACUUGCUCUUGGUUUCAUAAUGUUCCAUAUUGAAGUAGAGCAACACCAGAAUCAAAAUCAGUGAUGGCAACCGUACUGCUUUGUCUGCCAGCUGUCCCAGCCAGGGGGACUGCUUAGUGUAUCACAAGGAAACCCUUGGUUUUGUUUGUAUCUACUGUUCCACGGGGCUAAAUUCUUCCUGCUGUGGGGAAUUCUUUCAUCAUAGUGAAGAAAACUGAUCAAACUUUAGUUUUCCUGAUUACCACGAAGUGAAAAGGAGUGUCGUUAUUUUUUAAAGAAUCUGAUUCAUUUGUGCAAUCUGCUCUUUCUGAUUUACCGCUUCUAUUCCCCCUGUCCUUCUGUUCCAAUGAUCGCAGCCCCAUCAGGCAGUGAUAAUGGUGAGCACCAUGGGCCGCUGCAGAUUUAAACAGGCACCGCUUCCUUUGUGCGCUGCUUUUUAAUGAUCACCAGGAUGCACAUUUAUAGUCCCAUCUUUGCUCUAGAAACUAGCCCAUAACACUAAACGUAUAUCUAGCGAUCAGUCUUGUUGGAUAAGAAAUGGUGUAUUUUGUGAAAGUAGGAUGGGAAAUAGAACGCUGAGCUUAAGCUGACCAAUUUUGAUGAACUUUCAAUGUCAAUUUUCCUUUAAUAAAGAACAGAUUCCAUUUUGCAAACUUGAAAAUGUAGGAGUAGGAGAGACGAAAGAUAAAAGGAAGCAUUUAGAAAUGUUUUACUUUGCCUUUUAAUUUUGGAUGUGGUUUUCUGUAAUUAUUUUUAAUUAGUUAUGCUCAAAAUUUAAAACCUAUGACUAUUCUGUGGCUUGAUACAGAUGGAAUGUCACAUUAUCAUCACAUGGUGAGGCAUGAAAUUUAUUUACUUUACAUAAACAAUCUCUACAUAAAACAACUUAAUACAAAACAUUCCUUGCUCAAUGGGCAGCAUUAUGCAGGACUCCGUAUAUCAUCUUGUGUGACCAGCAUAAAAAAUGGCAUCGUUGUUUGUCCAUGACUAGCACUUACAGUAAACAAAAUGUUUUUGAAUAGAAUGUAAGCAAACUGUAAAACAGCUGCCAAGAGAUGAAAUCUAGUCAGUAUGCUGCCCUCCAAAACAUGCUUUAUGUGUGUUGAGAAUAAUAAAUGUGUAGGUUGCGAUAUGCAUAUUUUAAGGGAAAGUUUAAUCGUUUCUGUGUUUGAAGGAGUGAAGACAAUAUUCUAAAAAAAGAAAACUACUGAAGCUGGUUGUUACAAACUGUAUUAAUAAUUUCUGUUUCCCCAAAAGAUAAACGCUGACAUAAAUCAUGUCCGUGACUGUGCUGCCCAAUUAAGAAACAGUAAGAGAGUGUUGGAGAAGAUCAAAUAGAGCAUUAGGGAAAACUAUUUUCAGACUGUGUCCUGUAAUGAAAUAAAAAAUACUUGAUUUUUUGUCUUCUUGUUCAUCUGACAAGCCCAAGGCCAAAUAUGACCAUCCCUAUUAAGUUUAGUUCUGCAUGUUCCUAACUUCCAUACUAUUUUCAAUUUGAGUGACUCGAGUUUGUACUCCUGGCAACAGUGAUGGUUGCUUUCCAAGAGACCAGGUCAGGGUUAACUGGAUGGGUUUUCAUCUAACCCCACGUGAAAUUAGUAAUGAAAGCAAACUGGAGAAACUAGAGGCAAAGUACUACUGAGUUCCCAUUCGUCUCUCCAGUUUUGCUGUCCUUUAUAGAGUAGACAGUGAAAACGUUGACCUCUUUGCUCAUAAACAAGUGAUUCCUUCUUUACUUUUUGUUUAGUUUAGCCUUCUUACCUGCUUCUGGGUGAUUUUUUUUUGUGUCCAAAACAACUAUGUAUAUAUCACAAAGCAUGAAAGCCCAUUUCAGAGACACUGCAAAAUAUAGAAACCUUCUCAAAACAGAUAAAAUGGGAAGUAAUGAGAUGGAUGCAGUGGUUGGACCUAGGUAUUAGAAAAGAUCUUUUUAUUUAACAAACCUACAGUCUUCUUUCUUGAGAACCAGUACCUGAGCUGGAUAUAAGAACGAACAACGCACUUUGUUUGUGCCAGUCCCACUUACAGGCGUUGGUGAGAGGGUUUUCUGAAUUUCAGUUCUUCCUUAAUCUGUUUGGGAAAAGCUGCUAAUAGUG
Molecule: long non-coding RNA, 2736 nt
Organism: Oxyura jamaicensis (ruddy duck)
Lineage: Eukaryota; Metazoa; Chordata; Aves; Anseriformes; Anatidae
Exons: 2
Source: RefSeq, a predicted model, not a curated record